GACGUAGGGCGCGAGCGUUGUCCGGAUUUAUUGGGCGUAAAGAGCUCGUAGGCGGCUUGUCGCGUCGUCUGUGAAAUCCCGCGGCUCAACCGCGGGUCUGCAGUCGAUACGGGCAGGCUAGAGUUCGGUAGGGGAGACUGGAAUCCCUGGUGUAGCGGUGAAAUGCGCAGAUAUCAGGAGGAACACCGAUGGCGAAGGCAGGUCUCUGGGCCACUACUGACGCUGAGAAGCGAAAGCAUGGGGAGCGAACAGG
This 253-nucleotide ribosomal RNA is filed under the name uncultured bacterium. RNAcentral describes it as "partial 16S ribosomal RNA". It matches the Rfam family "Bacterial small subunit ribosomal RNA", at positions 524 to 776 of the family's 1533-position model. The record is from RNAcentral.